AGCAGCCGCGGUAAUUCCAGCUCCAAUAGCGUAUAUUAAAGUUGUUGCAGUUAAAAAGCUCGUAGUUGAAUUUCGGGAUCAAUAUAUCGGUCGUGCCUUGGUACGUACUGGUAUCAUUGGUUUCUCCUUUCUGACGAACCAUGAUGUCAUUAAUUUGGUGUUAUGGGAAGUUAGGACUGUUACUUUGAAAAAAUUAGAGUGUUUAAAGCAGGCUUUGGCUUGAAUACAUUAGCAUGGAAUAAUGAAAUAGGACGUUCGAACCUAUUUUGUUGGUUUCUAGGAUCAACGUAAUGAUUAAUAGGGAUAGUUGGGGGCAUUAGUAUUCAAUUGUCAGAGGUGAAAUUCUUGGAUUUAUUGAAGACUAACUACUGCGAAAGCAUUUGCCAAGGAUGUUUUCAUUAAUCAAGAACGAAAGUUAGGGGAUCGAAGACGAUCGGAUACCGUCGUAGUCUUAACCAUAAACUAUGCCGACUAGGGAUCGGAUGAUGUUAAUUUUUUAAUGACUCAUUCGGCGCCUUAC
This 520-nucleotide unclassified non-coding RNA is filed under the name uncultured Glomus. RNAcentral describes it as "SSU rRNA". It matches the Rfam family "Eukaryotic small subunit ribosomal RNA", at positions 569 to 1091 of the family's 1831-position model. The record is from RNAcentral. Lineage: Eukaryota; Fungi; Glomeromycota; Glomeromycetes; Glomerales; Glomeraceae.